CAGAUGGGGAAAUAAAGGCUCAGAGAAGUGGACACGGAUUUGCUCUGCAAUCUUGGCGCCGGGUUUAUUUCCGCCUCUGGAAUGCAGCACUGGGGGGAUUCCUGGCAGUGCCGGACCACGUGGAGGACAUGAAGGCAGGCCGUGUGGUGGUCUCCGACCCCCGAGCUGGAGGUAGCUGCAUCUGGUACUACGAGGAUGGGAUGCUGAAGAACCAGAUGGCCCCCACAAUGAGCCUGCAGGUGAUUGGACCCCCUAGCUCAGGCUCCAAGGUGGUGCUGUGGGCCGAGAGCCGCCUGCCACGCCAGACGUGGAGCAUCAGUGAAUCGGGCCACAUCUGCAGCCAGAUGUUCGAAGGCCAGAUCCUGGAUGUGAAGGGAGGCCGGGGCUACGACCGGGACCACGUGGUGCUAUGGGAGCCGGAUGAGGACAGAGCAUCCCAGAUCUGGACCAUCCAUGUGCUUUGAACCUU
This 469-nucleotide small RNA is filed under the name Pongo abelii (Sumatran orangutan). RNAcentral describes it as "processed transcript". The record is from RNAcentral. Lineage: Eukaryota; Metazoa; Chordata; Mammalia; Primates; Hominidae.